Molecule: ribosomal RNA, 497 nt
Filed under: uncultured bacterium
Lineage: Bacteria
Description: partial 16S ribosomal RNA
Rfam family: Bacterial small subunit ribosomal RNA
Source: RNAcentral
GAUGAACGCUGGCGGCGUGCCUAAUACAUGCAAGUCGAGCGAACAGACGAGGAGCUUGCUCCUCUGACGUUAGCGGCGGACGGGUGAGUAACACGUGGAUAACCUACCUAUAAGACUGGGAUAACUUCGGGAAACCGUAGCUAAUACCGGAUAAUAUAUUGAACCGCAUGGUUCAAUAGUGAAAGACGGUUUUGCUGUCACUUAUAGAUGGAUCCGCGCCGCAUUCGUUAGUUGGUAAGGUAACGGCUUACCAAGGCAACGAUGCGUAGCCGACCUGAGAGGGUGAUCGGACACACGGGCACUGAGACACGGUACCGACUCCGAGGGGAGGACGCAGUCGGGAAUCUUACGGAAUGGGGGAAAGCCUGACGGAGCAACGCCGCGUGAGUGAUGAAGGUCUUAGGCUCGUAAAACUCUGUUAUUAGGGAAGAACAAAUGUGUAAGUAACUAUGCACGUAUUGACGGUACCUAAUCAGAAAGCCACGGCUAACUCCGUG